This is a long non-coding RNA of Dreissena polymorpha, 291 nucleotides long. RefSeq lists it as uncharacterized. The transcript is spliced from 3 exons. The record is from RefSeq and is a predicted model, not a curated record. Lineage: Eukaryota; Metazoa; Mollusca; Bivalvia; Myida; Dreissenidae.
GUUUAAAUAGGAAAAGUACAUUCGUGCAAAAAUUGAGAAGUGGUUAUAAACAAACAUUGUUUUAAGCUUGCAGAGUAACAUCACUUGCGGACACGGAUUCGGAAGAAGCGCUGCGACGCCAGAUUCCAUAAAUUUGACGUCUAUUGAUUCCUUCUUCGGAUCAGAAUGAUUGUAUUCCUGAAUUAAUUUAUAUUUAUGUAACACUGAACUGAAAAGAAAUAAGUAAAGAAGAACCCACGACUUUGUGUUUUCCAUUUAAUCAAAUAAACAUUUGGAGGAAAAAUACAUAAA